UAGGGAAUAUUGGUCAAUGGGCGAGAGCCUGAACCAGCCAUGCCGCGUGCAGGACGACGGCCUUCUGGGUUGUAAACUGCUUUUAUACAGGAACAAAAAGGCUCUGCGGAGCAAAUUGCGUGUACCUGAAGAAUAAGCACCGGCUAACUCCGUGCCAGCAGCCGCGGUAAUACGGAGGGUGCAAGCGUUGUCCGGAUUUAUUGGGUUUAAAGGGUGCGUAGGCGGUCAAUUAAGUCAGUGGUGAAAUCCUGCAGCUCAACUGUAGAACUGCCAUUGGUACUGGUUGACUUGAGUACAGACGAGGUAGGCGGAAUUUAUGGUGUAGCGGUGAAAUGCAUAGAUACCAUAAAGAACACCUAUAGCGAAGGCAGCUUACUAGACUGUAACUGACGCUGAGGCACGAAAGCGUGGGGAGCGAACAGGAUUAGAUACCCGGGUAGUCC
This 443-nucleotide ribosomal RNA is filed under the name uncultured prokaryote. RNAcentral describes it as "bacterial SSU rRNA". It matches the Rfam family "Bacterial small subunit ribosomal RNA", at positions 355 to 796 of the family's 1533-position model. The record is from RNAcentral.